CUAGACAUGUUUUAUUCUCAAAUUUUUAAAAUCAAAAGUUUGCAACCAUUCCAAACAGUUAUGCUACAAUGGCAGCAAAACACGCACUAUCAUUACGAAUUCGAAGCAACGAAUGUGUAAAAUCAUUGUUAUCAUCAUGCAAAACCAUGCAACAAGCUCUUCAAAUCCACGCUCACAUGGUAGUAACUGGUCGCCACAACAAUCUCUUCCUCUCCACCACUCUCUUCUCCUUUUACGCCUCUUCUUUCUCCUCACAAUCCUUACGCCAUUCUUACACCCUCUUCUCCCAAAUCACCAACCCCGAUUUGUUUCUAUGGAACGCCAUCAUCAAAGCUUACUCUCUCAACCUUCAUUCUCCACCAAAACACCCGUUUUCUCUCUUCAAAUCAAUGCUUUCUUGUUCUGUAUCCCCUGAUUCAUUCACCUUCCCCUUUCUCCUCAAAUCAUGUGCUAAUUUGUUGAUAAGUGCUAGUCCUAAAAUGGGUCUUCAGGUUCAUUGUCAUGUUGUGAGAAAUGGGUUUGAUUCUGAUGUUUAUGUUAACAAUGCUAUGUUGAAUUUCUAUUGUGUUUUUGGGGGUGUUGAUAGUGCAUGUAAGGUGUUUGAAGAAAGUUCUGUUAGAGAUUGUGUUUCGUUUAAUACGAUGAUUAAUGGGUUUGUGCAUGCGGGUUUUGUAGGUGGUUGUUUCCGGGUUUUUGAGGAAAUGAGGGUGUUUUGCGUUAAGCCGGAUGAGUAUACUUUUGUUGGUUUGUUGUCUGCUUGUUCUUUGUUGGAGAAUUAUAGGAUUGGGAGGGAGGUGCAUGGUUUGGUUUAUAGAGAACUGGGUUAUUUUGGUGAUAGUGUUUUGUUGGUGAAUAAACUUGUUGAUAUGUAUGCAAAAGGUGGGUGUUUGGUUAUGGCUGAGAGGGUUGUGAGUGGAAUGAAAGAUGGGAAGGGUGUUAUUGCAGCUUGGACUUCUUUGGUGAGUGCAUAUGCUUUGCGAGGAGAAGUUGAGGUUGCUAGAAGAUUGUUUGAUCAAAUGAGUGAAAGAGACGUGGUUUCUUGGACUGCCAUGAUUAGUGGUUACUCUCAUGCUGGAUAUUUUCAAGAAGCAUUGGAAUUGUUUGUGAAGUUGGAAGGUUUGGGGAUGAAACCGGAUGAGGUUGCUGUGGUUGCUGCUCUUUCUGCGUGUGCGCGGCUAGGCGCCCUUGAGUUGGGAAGAAGGAUUCACCGCCAAUAUGCUGGUGAGAAUUGGAUAUGUGGUCUGAGUGGUGGGUUCACUUCUGCUGUUGUUGAUAUGUAUGCGAAAUGCGGGAGCAUUGACACUGCUUUGGAUGUGUUCUGUAAAAUAAGUGAUGAUGUGAAAACAACUUUUCUGUAUAAUUCUAUCAUCUCUGGUCUUGCUCAUCAUGGCCUCGGCGAACAUGCUUUAACUUUAUUUGAAGAAAUGGGGUUAUUAGGAUUAAAACCCGACAAAAUCACUUUUGUAGCAGUUUUAAGUGCUUGUGGACAUUGUGGUUUGGUCGAUGCUGGCAAAAAGCUGUUUGAAUCCAUGUUAACUGUCUAUGGUGUUAAUCCUGAAAUGGAGCAUUAUGGCUGUAUAGUUGACCUUCUUGGAAGGGCCGGCCGUCUGGACGAAGCACAUCGUUUAGUUCUAAAGAUGCCAUUUAAGGCCAAUGCUGUCAUUUGGAGAGCACUAUUAAGUGCCUGUAAAGUACACGGAGAUGUUGCAUUAGCUAGACUUGCCAGCUAUGAGCUUCUUGAGUUGGAGCACAAUCACGGUGCUGGCUAUGUGAUUCUAUCUAACAUGCUAGCAGACAUGGAUCAGCAUGAUGAAGCUGCAUGUUUGAGAAAAGCAAUAGACAAUGUUGUUAUACAGAAGCCGUCCGGUUUGAGCUAUGUGGAACUGAAUGGAACUCUUCACAAGUUUGUGCCAGAAGCCAAAACCGCUGAGCUGGUGCUUGGGGACAUUAAUAUAGGACUGAACUCUGGAUAAUAAAAGGAAGUUCUGGACAUGGUGGCCUCUGAUCUUCCUAUGUGACUGUUAAUCUUAUUACAGACAUUCAACAUUGAUAGCCUAAGUUCCAUGCCAACAGAAAUCAUCUUUGAGACAGAGUGUCAGCUCGGGACACUUAAAUGGGAAAAUGGUUUGAGAUAUAUCCUUUCCAUUGGCACUUGGCAGUUCAUUCCAUGCGAAACCAUUCCAAGAUUUCAUUUAAUGAUCCUGACCUUGACACUGGAGUCAAAGCUAUCUAACAUGCUACGGUGGGUUAGAAGAUAUAGAUGUUCUCUGAACCUCUGAAUUUUCUGAGAACAAAGUUGAUUCAAUUAUUCAUUCUGUAGACAUCAGGGAUAUGAUAAAUCUUGAAACUUCAGCCAACUUAUCUUUGGAAGAAAGGGUCCCAAAUUUAUUCUAAUUGGAGAUUUAGAUUCAGAUGAAGAUGCAGUUUCAUAUCUUUGUGAUGAAUGCCACAAUUAUGCCUCUGACAACAGAAGCUUGUGAUAUGAGUUUCAGCAUAUUGGCAAAUGCUAUUUGAUGCAAAAUACAAGUAGUUGGAGUUGUCUCGGCUGAAGGAACAGACUGAGAAGGAAAAGGAAGAAAUCAGCAAAGCCAGGAAACUUAUAUUGGAAAAAGAUGCAAAGUUUCAUGUUGCAGAAGAAAGCCAUUCAGGACUCAAGGAGGUAUUGCAUUUGGGUUCUUGUGGACUUGGUCCAUUAAUGUAUUCAGAGGAUCUUGCAUUUUCUUGUCCUAGUUAGCUUUUGUUGCAUUUUAAAGCAGAUUAUAGAUGUCUACUAUUGGAUGUGAACCUAAAAUAUCACUAGACUCAUUUACAAGUGACAAU
This is an RNA transcript of Lathyrus oleraceus (garden pea), 2820 nucleotides long. It is a transcript of the gene named pentatricopeptide repeat-containing protein At2g22410, mitochondrial, with no coding region annotated. Lineage: Eukaryota; Viridiplantae; Streptophyta; Magnoliopsida; Fabales; Fabaceae. The record is from RefSeq and is a predicted model, not a curated record. The transcript has 3 exons.